GACGAACGCUGGCGGCGUGCCUAAUACAUGCAAGUUGAGCGAUGAAGAUUGGUGCUUGCACCAAUUUGAAGAGCAGCGAACGGGUGAGUAACGCGUGGGGAAUCUGCCUUUGAGCGGGGGACAACAUUUGGAAACGAAUGCUAAUACCGCAUAACAACUUUAAACAUAAGUUUUAAGUUUGAAAGAUGCAAUUGCAUCACUCAAAGAUGAUCCCGCGUUGUAUUAGCUAGUUGGUGAGGUAAAGGCUCACCAAGGCGAGGAUACAUAGCCGACCUGAGAGGGUGGUCGGCCACAUUGGGAAUGAGACACGGCCCAAACCGCUACGGGAGGCAGCCGUAAGGAAUCUUCGGGAAUGGACGAAAGUCUGACCGGGCAACGCCGCGUGAGUGAAGAAGGUUUUCGGAUCGUAAAACUCUGUUGGUAGAGAAGAACGUUGGUGAGAGUGGAAAGCUCAUCAAGUGACGGUAACUACCCAGAAAGGGACGGCUAACUACGUG
Molecule: ribosomal RNA, 497 nt
Filed under: uncultured bacterium
Lineage: Bacteria
Description: partial 16S ribosomal RNA
Rfam family: Bacterial small subunit ribosomal RNA
Source: RNAcentral